RNAcentral lists this transfer RNA (68 nucleotides) under Ailurus fulgens (lesser panda). Its description in RNAcentral is "tRNA-His". It matches the Rfam family "tRNA". From Rfam's summary of the family: Transfer RNA (tRNA) molecules are approximately 80 nucleotides in length. Their secondary structure includes four short double-helical elements and three loops (D, anti-codon, and T loops). The record is from RNAcentral. RNAcentral also lists the same sequence under 1 other name. Lineage: Eukaryota; Metazoa; Chordata; Mammalia; Carnivora; Ailuridae.
GUAAAUAUAGUUUAGUAAAACAUUAGACUGUGAAUCUAAUAACAAAAGUUUAAACCUUUUUAUUUACC